UACAGAGGUCCCGAGCGUUGUUCGGAUUCAUUGGGCGUAAAGGGUGCGUAGGUGGCGCUGUAAGUGGGGUGUGAAAUCCCGGGGCUUAACCCCGGCACUGCAUUCCAUACUGCGGUGCUUGAGGACUGGAGAGGAGACUGGAAUUUACGGUGUAGCAGUGAAAUGCGUAGAGAUCGUAAGGAAGACCAGUGGCGAAGGCGGGUCUCUGGACAGUUCCUGACACUGAGGCACGAAGGCCAGGGGAGCAAACGGG
RNAcentral lists this ribosomal RNA (253 nucleotides) under uncultured bacterium. RNAcentral's name for it is "partial 16S ribosomal RNA". It matches the Rfam family "Bacterial small subunit ribosomal RNA", at positions 524 to 776 of the family's 1533-position model. The record is from RNAcentral.